UACAAUAUGGUGUAGGGGCAUAAAAAGUUUUGAUCUUUUAGGGGAAGGUUCAAUUCCUUCUUUUGUAA
RNAcentral lists this transfer RNA (68 nucleotides) under Argonauta argo. RNAcentral describes it as "tRNA-Gln". It matches the Rfam family "tRNA". From Rfam's summary of the family: Transfer RNA (tRNA) molecules are approximately 80 nucleotides in length. Their secondary structure includes four short double-helical elements and three loops (D, anti-codon, and T loops). RNAcentral also lists the same sequence under 1 other name. The record is from RNAcentral. Lineage: Eukaryota; Metazoa; Mollusca; Cephalopoda; Octopoda; Argonautidae.